Manis javanica (Malayan pangolin) is the source of this 106-nucleotide small nucleolar RNA. RefSeq annotates it as U8 small nucleolar RNA. Lineage: Eukaryota; Metazoa; Chordata; Mammalia; Pholidota; Manidae. The record is from RefSeq and is a predicted model, not a curated record.
GUGUCAGGUGGGAUCGUCUUUACCUGUUCCUCCUUUUGGAGGGCAGACUGGAAUAUGAUGACUGGAGUUUGCACGAUAGCGAUUCUCAUCUCUGCACCAUCAGGAU